Thamnophis elegans (Western terrestrial garter snake) is the source of this 3365-nucleotide long non-coding RNA. RefSeq lists it as uncharacterized. The transcript has 2 exons. The record is from RefSeq and is a predicted model, not a curated record. NCBI's taxonomy places the organism in Eukaryota, Metazoa, Chordata, Lepidosauria, Squamata, Natricidae.
UUGAUUAGUUCUUAUGUACAUUUCCUGUGAUUAAUGCUACCCUUCAAUCAACUGGACAUUGAUCUUGUAACUCCACAAGUCAAAGCCAACCAUCUCAACAAAUGACUCUAGGCAGCAUACAUCAUGCAACAUUAAAAAAGUUAAAACAAUACAAAAUGAAUACAUAUGGCAUCAAGCAGAUCUGCAACCGUGAUUGUUAAUACAGGCAAGGAACGGAACCCUUACAGCCAAGGAACGGAACGGAAGCCAGGACUGGAUAGACAAUGAAGUCUUCACAACCUUAUGAACAGCCAGCAGAGUUGGGAUCAUCCUGAUCACUGAAGAGUGAAUGUUCCAAAGGGCAGAGAUUAUGGCAGAGAAGACCAAUCUCUUGGUCCCUGCCAGAUGACGCUCCUUGGUUCAUGGGAGUCAUAACAUGCUCAGCCUGCCAGAAGUUUCUUUAGGAAUCCAGCCCAAGCCAUAAAGGGGUUUAAAGAUGAUGACCAGCCCUUUGAAUUGGCCCUAGAAGCACACUGGCAGCCAAUGCAGCUCCUGAAGAAAUGGUGUCACUUGUUUUGAAUAUCUGGCACUCUUUACUACCUGUGCAGCCACAUUCUGCACCAGUUGAUACUUAUGAAUGUUCUUCAAAGGCAGCCCCAUGUAGAGAACAAUGCAGUAAUCCAGAUGACAGGUCACAAGGGUAUGAGUGGCUGUGAGCAAAGCCUCCCAACCCAGGAAUGGAUGCAUUGGAACAAAAUAUAUGCAAAAUCCCUCUUGCCAAUGGCUACCACCUGCUCUUCCAGCAGGAGCUUUGAGUUCAAGAGGACACCCCGCUUACACACCAGGUCAUUUUGAGUCACCCAGAACUAGCAAUGGAAAUCCCAAAGGUGCUUUUUCAGGAGGCUACUGGAGUUUCCAGACUUUUAGCAAUGGAAAAAUCUGGUUAUCAGAAGAUUCAAACAUCCAAAGCCAAGCUAUUUCACCUGAAUUGUAUCCAGGACAGGGACAGGACAUCAGGCAGCCUGGAGUGGAAAUAUAAAGUUGGCUAUUAUCAACAUAUUGAUACCUCACCUCAAACCAUCAGAUCAUCUCAUCCAGCAGUCUCAUGUAGAUGUUAAAGAGGAGUGGAGAGAGAACAGAGUCUUGCACAGACCCUACCCGAAAAGUAGCAUCUGUGCAUUGGAUCUCUCCUCAGCCACCAGUCCCAUCCUCCCCCAAUUUGACUACAGCAAAUUCAAAUUCUCAGUAUUCCUUUACUUUUAAGGAAGGUUUCUCCAAGUGCUUUUCCUUGUUUUCUCCAGCCCUCUAUAUAGAUUACAUUCCAAAGAAGAGCAUCCAGGACCUGCAGAAAAACCUGAAAUCAACAUGUGUUAGAUCACAGAACAAACAUUGCAUAAUUUCUCUUGCUCUGUUUCAAGCAAUCCAGCAUAGCUGAUUGUUUCCAUUUGUUCUAUCGGCUGGUCUAAAUUAAGAACUUGGGGACUGCUUUUUUAAAGGCAAAAUCUUCCAAGCUCUUCCUUUUUCGGUUUCUGGAAUCCCUCCCUCCACAAAACUUUUUAUUAUGCAACACUUUUUCUAAUUAAGUUUUAUUUUCUGUGCCCAGAAAUCUAGGUUCUGCUUCAUUAUUUUUAAAGCUGAUGUAUUUGAAGCUGUUCCUUUUAUUGCUUAUAUCAUCAAGCUUAAUUGCUCCCACUGCAAACCCCACCACCAACAUCUCAAAGAUAGAUUAUAAAUGAGUAAAUAAUACUAGGACAAAAAUAGUUCAGAGGGAGAUGAGGGCCUUCUUUUUCUUCUAUGUUUUGUAAGCUCCCUCCUCCCUACAUUCUUUUUCUACACAAACUCACAUCUCUGUAUUCAGCCACCAUUUCUGUCCAAGUGAAAGUGUUAAACCCUGGUUAUAAAUAAAAUACACAAGGGAAUGCUUAGGGAAUGCUGGUCCCAAGUAUUGCCAUAGCAAUAUUAAUCUCCAUGAGUUCCUAGUUAUGUAUUCCCUAUUUUGGUAUUAAAGGGAAGGGGAAGAAUGCAGAAAGCAAUCUUUAAAAGAGGGAUUUUUUGAUAUAGGCCAGGGGUAUCCAAACUUGGCAAUUUUAAGACUUGUGGACUUUGACUUCCAGAAUUCCCACCAUGGCUGACUGAGGAAUUCUGGGAAUUGAAGUCCACAUGUCUUAAAAGUUGCUAAGUUGGACACCCAUGAUUUAGGUCAGCGGUCAAACUUCGAAUUUUAAGCAUAUUAAACAAACUGGAUUUUACAGGAGAGUAAAUGACAUCUGUAACAUAUCACAAUGGCAUCAAAAUGAUGACAUACACACAAGAUCAACAAGAAAAUGCCAUGACUACAUACUGUACUUGCUGUAGGAAAUGACCAGGCUGAGCCUGAGGGAAGGGUCAAAUGUUAUCAAUCAUGAGUCCCUUCAUGCCCACCAGAGGUCUAAGUCCAGCCCACUUUGAAUCCCUUUAACUUUUUAUCUACUGCUAUAUUUGCUUGGAACAUUAGUAGUUCAGAAUCUUGUAUAGAGAUUAAACUUGCAAUAUAUCUUUUUAUACCCAUUUGAACUGCCUGAAUCUCCUGUGGUGCAUGACACUUAUAUCCCAAUGUCUGACAGAAGUAUUUAAAUUGGGGUGCACUGUCAUUUGUCUCCCUGACCAGAGAUAUGAGGAACAGGGUGAAGAAAGUUCUCUAUUAACAGCUGGCUAUCAUGAAAGAUAUAAUCACUUUUAGGCUGUUUUUUGGAAAGCGAAUUUGUGAUACCUCUGCUACUCCCACCAAUCACAAGUAGUUUCCAAAUUAGUUUUGACCCUCAUCUAAAUAAAAGCUCAGAUACAACCAUCAAUGUUUUUUUCUUCUAAUAUCGCUAGGAUCAUUAAAGUGAUGCAAAGGUUGGCACAUGCCAGCUUCUUAUUUCCUUUCAAUUAUUCAUUUAGUUCUUCAAGUUUAUUAGUCACCCAACUGCAAAAGAACAACAAGACGAGGAAGAGAGCAUAGCAGAUGCUACAGGAGGGAUCUGUAGACAGCCCACUGGUGAGCUCAGAUUUAAACUUCCUCUUAUUCACAGAACAGACUUGUUGAGCAGUGAACAGAUAUCACUAUUCAUAUAGCACAGGGGUUCCCAAACUAUGGGGAAGUAUAUGAAGAAAUUUUGAGGAAGCGGCAUAAUGAACUUCUUAGGGUUAAAAAAAAGAAUAAUUUUCAAAUGAAGCUCAAAUGGAAUGAAAUAAAUUUGGCAGAGUUAGUGGGCUAAUUCCACUAAGGAGUGAAGAUGCACUGGGAAGAUCAGGGAGUUUGUAGUGAGAAGUUUGGGGCUGAUAGAGUUGAUCAGGAAGACUGAAGCUGGAAGCCUCAUGCACUUCUUAAUUCUUGCACAGACUGGCAGAGAACUUGACUGAAA